GGUCUCAUAGCUCAGCUGGAUAGAGCAACUGCCUUCUAAGCAGUAGGUCUCUGGUUCGAAUCCAGAUGAGAUCA
Molecule: transfer RNA, 74 nt
Filed under: Mucilaginibacter saanensis
Lineage: Bacteria; Pseudomonadati; Bacteroidota; Sphingobacteriia; Sphingobacteriales; Sphingobacteriaceae
Description: Mucilaginibacter sp. SP1R1 tRNA
Rfam family: tRNA
About the family: Transfer RNA (tRNA) molecules are approximately 80 nucleotides in length.
Source: Rfam by way of RNAcentral